UAGGGAAUCUUCCACAAUGGGCGCAAGCCUGAUGGAGCAACACCGCGUGAGUGAAGAAGGGUUUCGGCUCGUAAAGCUCUGUUGUUAAAGAAGAACACGUAUGAGAGUAACUGUCAUACGUUGACGGUAUUUAACCAGAAAGUCACGGCUAACUACGUGCCAG
This 163-nucleotide ribosomal RNA is filed under the name uncultured bacterium. RNAcentral describes it as "partial 16S rRNA". It matches the Rfam family "Bacterial small subunit ribosomal RNA", at positions 355 to 511 of the family's 1533-position model. The record is from RNAcentral.